GAGGGCCCUCAUGGGGUUUUUGAUUAUGUGAUUACUUGGCCGUUUUUUUAAUGAUUAUUUGAUUAUUAAGCCAAAUAUUUCAUGAUUAUUUGAUUACCUAGGACUGUAUUUUUAGUUUAUGAUUAUUUGAUUACUAAAGAUAAGCAAAUAUUUAAUGAUUAUGUAAUUAUAUUGGCAAAAAAAAUGGUGAUUAUGUGAUUACUAGGACCACCCCC
This 215-nucleotide long non-coding RNA is filed under the name Mytilus galloprovincialis (Mediterranean mussel). Lineage: Eukaryota; Metazoa; Mollusca; Bivalvia; Mytilida; Mytilidae. The record is from RNAcentral.